Molecule: ribosomal RNA, 893 nt
Filed under: Sphingomonas yabuuchiae
Lineage: Bacteria; Pseudomonadati; Pseudomonadota; Alphaproteobacteria; Sphingomonadales; Sphingomonadaceae
Description: bacterial SSU rRNA
Rfam family: Bacterial small subunit ribosomal RNA (bases 1-800)
Source: RNAcentral
CUUCGGGGUUUAACCCGCGCACGUAUGCGUAACGCGUGGGAAUCUGCCCUUGGUUCGGCAAUAACAGCUGGAAACGGCUGCUAAUACCGGAUGGAUGACGAAAGUCCAAAGAUUUAUCGCCACGAGAGAUGAGCCCGCGUUGCGAUUACGUACGUUCGUGGGGUAAAGGCCUACCAAGCCGACGAUCCAGUAGACUGUCUGAGAGGAUGAUCACGCCACACUGGGACUCGAGACACGGCUCCAACUCCUACGGGAGGCAGUCGAUGUNGGGACAUACUUGGGACAAGUGGGACGAAGAGCCUGAAUCCANCAACUGCCGCGUGCAGCUGAGUGAAGGCCCCUAGGGGGUUGUNAUAGCUCGUUUUACCCGGGAAGUAAUUAGUGUACUGUACCGGGAGGAAAUAAGGCCCCGGUCGUAACUCCGUUGACCAGCCAGCCGCUGGUGAAUACGGAGCGGGGCUAGCGUNUUGUUCGGAACUUACUGUGGCGUACCCGCGCACGGUAGGCGGNCUCUAUGUACGUCAGAGGUGCACAAGCCUGGAGCUCCAACUCCNGAAGUGCCUUUNAUACUUGCAUCGCUUUGAAUCCAGGCAUCAGGUCAGUGGAAUNCCGGACGCUGUACGAAGGUCCAAAAUUCGUAAUAUNCCGGAAGAACACCUACCUCGCGCGAAGGCUGNUGACUUGGACCUGGUAUUGACCGCUUCCAGGUCCCNCAAAGCGUCGCGGGAAGCAAACAGGAUUUAGNUUCCCUGGGUANUCCACGCCGGUGGUCGNCUAUUCCCUUAUGCNNUCCCGGCGCCUUUGUGGCUUGUGGUGGCGCAGUCUCACGCCAUUAAGGUUCUCCGUCUGGGGAGGUUCGUGCCGCCAAGGUUNUAACUAAUAACUUGAAGGGG